GAUGAACGCUGGCGGCGUGCCUAAUACAUGCAAGUCGAGCGAACAGACGAGGAGUUUGCUCCUCUGACGUUAGCGGCGGACGGGUGAGUAACACGUGGGUAACCUACCUAUAAGACGGGGAUAACUGCGGGAAACCGUAUCUAAUACCGGAUAAUAUAUUGAACCGCAUGGUUCAAUAGUGAAAGACGGUGUUGGUUUCGCUUAUAGACUGAUCCGCGGUGGAUUAGCUAGUUGGUUAGGUAACGGCUUACCAAGGCAACGACGGGUAGGCGACGCGAGCGGGGGAUGGGCCACAGUGGAACUGAGCCACGGUACAGAGUCCUACGGGAGGCACAGGUAGGGACUCUUCGGCACUGGGCGAAAGCCUGACGAAGCAACGCCGCGUGAGUGAUGAAGGUCUUCGGAUCGUAAAACUCUGUUCUUAGUGAAGAACACAUGUGUAAGUAACUAUGCACGUCUUGACGGUACCUAAACAGAAAGCCACGGCUAACUACGUG
Molecule: ribosomal RNA, 497 nt
Filed under: uncultured bacterium
Lineage: Bacteria
Description: partial 16S ribosomal RNA
Rfam family: Bacterial small subunit ribosomal RNA
Source: RNAcentral